GACAGAGGUGGCAAGCGUUGUUCGGAAUUACUGGGCUUAAAGGGCGCGUAGGCGGUGGGACAAGUCUGAGGUGGAAUCCGGAGGCUUAACCUCCGAACUGCCUUGGAAACUGUACUGCUUGAGUUAGACAGGGGAAGGCGGAAUUCCUGGUGUAGCGGUGAAAUGCGUAGAUAUCAGGAGGAAGGCCUGUGGCGAAGGCGGCCUUCUGGGUCUUAACUGACGCUGAGGCGCGAAAGCGUGGGGAGCAAACAGG
This 253-nucleotide ribosomal RNA is filed under the name uncultured bacterium. RNAcentral describes it as "partial 16S ribosomal RNA". It matches the Rfam family "Bacterial small subunit ribosomal RNA", at positions 524 to 776 of the family's 1533-position model. The record is from RNAcentral.